This 902-nucleotide ribosomal RNA is filed under the name uncultured Gammaproteobacteria bacterium. Its description in RNAcentral is "bacterial SSU rRNA". It matches the Rfam family "Bacterial small subunit ribosomal RNA", at positions 28 to 916 of the family's 1533-position model. The record is from RNAcentral. Lineage: Bacteria; Pseudomonadati; Pseudomonadota; Gammaproteobacteria.
GAUGAACGCUAGCGGCAGGCUUAAUACAUGCAAGUCGAGGGGCAGCAGCGAGAACUUCGGUUCUUGGCUGGCGACCGGCGAACGGGUGCGUAACGCGUAUGCAACCUGCCUCGUACAGGAGGAUAGCCCGGAGAAAUCCGGAUUAAUACUCCAUAAUAUUAUCGAUCCGCAUGGAUUGAUAAUUAAAGCUUCGGCGGUACGAGAUGGGCAUGCGUGUCAUUAGCUAGAUGGUGAGGUAAUGGCUCACCAUGGCUACGAUGACUAGGGGUCCUGAGAGGGAGGUCCCCCACACUGGAACUGAGACACGGUCCAGACUCCUACGGGAGGCAGCAGUGAGGAAUAUUGGACAAUGGGCGCAAGCCUGAUCCAGCAAUGCCGCGUGUGUGAAGAAGGCCUGAGGGUUGUAAAGCACUUUCAAUUGUAAAGAGCGGCUAAUGGUUAAUACCCAUUAGCCUUGACAUUAACUUUAGAAGAAGCACCGGCUAACUCCGUGCCAGCAGCCGCGGUAAUACGGAGGGUGCAAGCGUUAAUCGGAAUUACUGGGCGUAAAGCGUGCGUAGGCGGUUUAUCAAGUCAGAUGUGAAAGCCCUGGGCUUAACCUAGGAACUGCAUUUGAAACUGAUAAACUAGAGUAUGGUAGAGGAAAGUGGAAUUUCUGGUGUAGCGGUGAAAUGCGUAAAUAUCAGAAGGAACAUCAAUGGCGAAGGCAGCUUUCUGGACCAAUACUGACGCUCAGGCACGAAAGCGUGGGUAGCAAGCAGGAUUAGAUACCCUGGUAGUCCACGCCGUAAACGAUGAUAACUAGCCGUUGGGAGGAUUUACCUCUUAGUGGCGAAGCUAACGCGUUAAGUUAUCCGCCUGGGGAGUACGGCCGCAAGGCUAAAACUCAAAGGAAUUGACGG